UAGCAGCGUCACACACCCGUGACAUUGC
This 28-nucleotide small RNA is filed under the name Bombyx mori (domestic silkworm). RNAcentral describes it as "ovarian small RNA-22268". Lineage: Eukaryota; Metazoa; Arthropoda; Insecta; Lepidoptera; Bombycidae. The record is from RNAcentral.